RNAcentral lists this ribosomal RNA (1192 nucleotides) under Clostridioides difficile. RNAcentral's name for it is "partial 23S ribosomal RNA". It matches the Rfam family "Bacterial large subunit ribosomal RNA", at positions 1702 to 2907 of the family's 2925-position model. Lineage: Bacteria; Bacillati; Bacillota; Clostridia; Peptostreptococcales; Peptostreptococcaceae. The record is from RNAcentral.
UUGUUAAGGAACUCGGCAAAAUGACCCCGUAACUUAGGGAUAAGGGGUGCCACCAUCAGGUGGCCGCAGAGAAUAGGCCCAAGCGACUGUUUACCAAAAACAUAGGUUUCUGCUAAGUCGCAAGACGAUGUAUAGGAGCUGACGCCUGCCCGGUGCUGGAAGGUUAAGGGGAUCUGUUAGAGCAAUCGAAGCAGUGAACUUAAGCCCCAGUAAACGGCGGCCGUAACUAUAACGGUCCUAAGGUAGCGAAAUUCCUUGUCGGGUAAGUUCCGACCCGCACGAAAGGCGUAACGAUUUGGGCACUGUCUCAACAACAGACUCGGUGAAAUUGUAAUUCCGGUGAAGAUGCCGGAUACCUGCGACAGGACGGAAAGACCCCAUGGAGCUUUACUGUAGCUUGACAUUGGGUCUUGGUACUACAUGUACAGGAUAGGUGGGAGGCUUUGAAACCAGGACGCCAGUUUUGGCGGAGCCAUCCUUGGGAUACCACCCUUGUAGUACUGGGACUCUAACCAUAGGCCAUGAAUCUGGUCUUGGGACACUGUCAGGUGGGCAGUUUGACUGGGGCGGUCGCCUCCCAAAAGGUAACGGAGGCGCUCAAAGGUUCUCUCAGUACGGUCGGAAAUCGUACGUAGAGUGUAAAGGCAAAAGAGAGCUUGAUUGCAAGACAUACAGGUCGAGCAAGGAUGAAAAUCGGACUUAGUGAUCCGGUGGUUCUGCGUGGAAGGGCCAUCGCUCAACGGAUAAAAGCUACCCUGGGGAUAACAGGCUUAUCUCCCCCAAGAGUCCACAUCGACGGGGAGGUUUGGCACCUCGAUGUCGGCUCAUCACAUCCUGGGGCUGUAGUAGGUCCCAAGGGUUGGGCUGUUCGCCCAUUAAAGUGGUACGCGAGCUGGGUUCAGAACGUCGUGAGACAGUUCGGUCCCUAUCCGUCGCAGGCGUAGGAAAUUUGAGAAGACCUGUCCUUAGUACGAGAGGACCGGGAUGGACGUACCUCUGGUGUACCAGUUGUCCUGCCAAGGGCAUGGCUGGGUAGCUAUGUACGGAAUGGAUAAGCGCUGAAAGCAUCUAAGCGCGAAGCCAACUUCAAGAUAAGAUUUCCCACCGCAAGGGUAAGACCCCAGAAAGACUAUCUGGUUGAUAGGUCGAAGGUGUAAGUGCAGCAAUGUAUUUAGCUUAUCGAUACUAAUAG